GUGCCUGUCGUCUAGUGGUUAGGACAGUGCGUUGUGGCACUGGAGAUCGGUUGCGACUCCCAGAUCCGCACAAACCCGGGCUCGACUCCCGGCAGGCACA
This 100-nucleotide transfer RNA is filed under the name Haematococcus lacustris. Its description in RNAcentral is "Haematococcus pluvialis tRNA". It matches the Rfam family "tRNA". Rfam says of the family: Transfer RNA (tRNA) molecules are approximately 80 nucleotides in length. The record is from Rfam by way of RNAcentral. Lineage: Eukaryota; Viridiplantae; Chlorophyta; Chlorophyceae; Chlamydomonadales; Haematococcaceae.